CAAGGCUUAAAACACAUCAAAAAGAGUACCACACGAAUUAGGGUUUUAUUGAGCUCUCAAAGACUGUAAAGAGGCCUAAGGAGGCUUAGGCCUCCUUAAAUAGGGUGCAAAACCCCGAGAUUUAGGGUUUCCUCUGCCAGCUCCUACUCGUCGAGUCCCUCCCUGGACUCGGCGAGUAGGUCACUAAACACGCGAUCCCACCCCACUGCUACUCGACGAGUAGGGCAACCAACUUGUCAAGUAGGACUUAAAACCAAAGAACCUUUUA
RNAcentral lists this long non-coding RNA (268 nucleotides) under Lactuca sativa (garden lettuce). RNAcentral's name for it is "long non-coding RNA (LSAT_LNC009239)". The record is from RNAcentral. Lineage: Eukaryota; Viridiplantae; Streptophyta; Magnoliopsida; Asterales; Asteraceae.